GACGAACGCUGGCGGCGUGCUUAACACAUGCAAGUCGAACGGAAAGGCCCUGCUUUUGUGGGGUGCUCGAGUGGCGAACGGGUGAGUAACACGUGAGUAACCUGCCCUUGACUUUGGGAUAACUUCAGGAAACUGGGGCUAAUACCGGAUAGGAGCUCCUGCUGCAUGGUGGGGGUUGGAAAGUUUCGGCGGGUGGGGAUGGACUCGCGGCUUAUCAGCUUGUUGGUGGGGUAGUGGCUUACCAAGGCUUUGACGGGUAGCCGGCCUGAGAGGGUGACCGGCCACAUUGGGACUGAGAUACGGCCCAGACUCCUACGGGAGGCAGCAGUGGGGAAUAUUGCACAGUGGGCGGGAGCCUGAUGCAGCAACGCCGCGUGCGGGAUGACGGCCUUCGGGUUGUAAACCGCUUUCGCCUGUGACGAAGCGUGAGUGACGGUAAUGGGUAAAGAAGCACCGGCUAACUACGUG
RNAcentral lists this ribosomal RNA (468 nucleotides) under uncultured bacterium. Its description in RNAcentral is "partial 16S ribosomal RNA". It matches the Rfam family "Bacterial small subunit ribosomal RNA", at positions 28 to 507 of the family's 1533-position model. The record is from RNAcentral.